RNAcentral lists this ribosomal RNA (930 nucleotides) under Phacus salinus. RNAcentral describes it as "partial small subunit ribosomal RNA". Lineage: Eukaryota; Euglenozoa; Euglenophyceae; Euglenales; Phacaceae. The record is from RNAcentral.
GAACGGAAUGGCACCCACCCAGGCGUGGAAUAUGCGGCUUAAUUUGACUCAACACGGGGAAUCUUACCAGGUCAGGACAUUGUUCGGAUUGACAGACCGAUUAGCUCUUUCUUGAUUCUGUGGAUGGKGGUGCAUGGCCGCUCCUGAUUGGUGGAUUGAUUUGUCUGGCUGAUUCCGAUAACGAGUGAGAUAUCUACCUUCCAGUACGCCCCGACCUCGCAAUUGUAGGGAACUUGAUACCGGUGUUUCCAUGUCCCGUUUUCGCCUGCUGCGUUGGAUUAGCUCUUCGUUGUUGUCGGUUUCGUUCGUGACUAACUGGCCGUUGUCGUUUCUCUUGCUCUUUCCUUUCGGGGUUUUUGCAAGAAGCGGGUACGGAAAAGUGGGCGCGUUCGUUGUCCGGGUGCAGCGUUUUGUGCGACGUCUGGCGUUGUUGGUUUGUAAGCGGGGUUUCUUGGCGCCGGUUAUCACCCGAGAGGUCUUACGUCAGAUCUUCGUGUUCUUUCUGUGGAAUUUCAUUUCGCUUCUCUGAGGUGCUGCGUACGCUACCAAGUACGUCGUAUGCUAGAGCCAACAGCAGGUCUGUGAUGCUCCCAGAUGUCCUGGACCGCACGCGCAUUACACUGGAUCGGUGAAUGUGUACCAUGCAACCAUUCGUUCGGCGGCGCUUUCCGGUUUGUUUCGACAGGCCGGCGACGCUGUUUUCCGCGGCGAGUGGAUUUGCCCUUGCUAGAAAGUGGUUCGGAAACCAUGGGAAACCGCCUGUGUUUGAAAGCGUCUUUCCGGUUUGUUUAACUCCUCGCGGGUUUCAACCGGAAACGACUCGUCCGUGUUCGGGAUUGAUGCUUGCAACUGUCUGCCAUGAACGAGGAAUGCCUAGUAUGCGCGAGUCAUCAGCUCGCACCGAUUGCGUCCCUGCCACUUGUACACACA